UAAAUAUAUAACAUCAUCCACAUUUAAUUCUCCUUUCAUUUUCCUCAUUCAACUAGUAAUUAAAAGUUAGAAAAAAAAUCAUUUGCCAAAAAGUAUAACAAAAGUGCAAAUCUUUUAUCAUGACAAAGAAAAUUAUUUAACUGUUAAGCCCCUCAUAUAUCAUGUGCCAAGUACCUAUUGUUGUACCUUACAACGAGAAAAUAGAGUCUCAGAUUCCUAAACCUUAUGCUUUCGUAGCACACCUUUCUCUCGCCUUAAUCCUUUUACAGUCAUUUUCCUUUCUUCUCUCUAUUAUUAUCAAUUAAAGAAUUACCAAAAAAUAAAUACUUGUACCUAAGCAUGAACAGAUUUACAUUUAUUGGCAGGAAAAAGAAAUCACAAACUUGGUCAGCCGUGUCAACUUACAAAAUAAUUGAAAAUUCAUGGGGGCAGAAAUAAAUAAAUUCACAACCUUUUUCCACCAAAAAACUAGUGCAGCAUCACAGUGUUGUGCACUACUCACUAAAACUCGCACCAAGCUCAAAUAUUAAGAUUUCUAGCUUUUUUCCUUUUUUCUCUCCUUCUUGAAUAAUUUUACAAACAAAUAACAUUGGGUGGGUACCUAUAAAUUAUAACUUUCUCGAUAGAAAAAUAAAAAUAGUUCUUGAUAGAAAAAGUAAAAAUGGACCACAAAAAAAAAAAAAAAAAAAAAGAAAAGAAAAAAAGAAAUCUGAAAUGGCAGCAUCCAAGGCAAGUGCAACAUGAUUAAUCAACCAUCCACGCUUAUCCUUCAUUACAAUUGAAGAAGACAAAGGGAAUUUCACUGUAUUAGCAUCAGAAUAUUUAUCAGAACCGCCAUGUAAAGUCACCCUAUUGUUAUCAUAUGCUGAUUGGUGAAAUGAAGAAUCAGAAGAAUAGUGUUGAAACUAAGGGCAACCCAUGUAAGAAAAAGGAAAAAAAGAGAGUAGAAAUGGAAUUGCAUGCGGUUUUUUGAGGAAGAUUUUCAGUGAAUUUAACAGGGUUGCUGCAGUUUGUGGAGUUUGCGACUGGAGAAUAGGGCUAAGAGACAUUUGGGAAGAGAGAAAGGAGACUGAAGAGAGACGGGUUGGAAUGAAGUUUGUCUUUCACGUUUCCCGUGUUUUAAAAAAAAAAUUGGGUUUUGUAUACAAAACGUCCAAAUUGACGUUUUGCGUUUUCUUCACUUUUUUUUUUUUUUUCGAAAAUUUGAUUUUCAUUAAGGAUAAAGAGAACGCGUUUUCAUUGCUUUGAAAAAUCGAAAACAGAAAACAACUUGAAAACAACAAAGAGAACCGGCCUAAGUUUCAAGAAAAAAAUUCAAGCCAAAAAAGUAUUUUCAAGAAAGAAAGC
Molecule: long non-coding RNA, 1347 nt
Filed under: Olea europaea subsp. europaea
Lineage: Eukaryota; Viridiplantae; Streptophyta; Magnoliopsida; Lamiales; Oleaceae
Source: RNAcentral